RNAcentral lists this ribosomal RNA (302 nucleotides) under uncultured bacterium. Its description in RNAcentral is "bacterial SSU rRNA". It matches the Rfam family "Bacterial small subunit ribosomal RNA", at positions 163 to 499 of the family's 1533-position model. The record is from RNAcentral.
CUAAUACCGGAUAAGCCCUUACGGGGAAAGAUUUAUCGCCGAAAGAUCGGCCCGCGUCUGAUUAGCUAGUUGGUGAGGUAAUGGCUCACCAAGGCGACGAUCAGUAGCUGGUCUGAGAGGAUGAUCAGCCACAUUGGGACUGAGACACGGCCCAAACUCCUACGGGAGGCAGCAGUGGGGAAUAUUGGACAAUGGGCGCAAGCCUGAUCCAGCCAUGCCGCGUGAGUGAUGAAGGCCCUAGGGUUGUAAAGCUCUUUUGUGCGGGAAGAUAAUGACGGUACCGCAAGAAUAAGCCCCGGCUA